AAACCAUGAUGAGGACAAAGUCUGAUCAUUGUAUUGUAUCGUUGCCAAGCGUCAUAUAGACUUUUGCCAUCAUACUGAGCAAACCUUGUGAUCUUAUCUCUAUAUUC
Small nucleolar RNA from Lolium rigidum, 107 nucleotides. Lineage: Eukaryota; Viridiplantae; Streptophyta; Magnoliopsida; Poales; Poaceae. The record is from RefSeq and is a predicted model, not a curated record.